Long non-coding RNA from Oncorhynchus tshawytscha (Chinook salmon), 2043 nucleotides. RefSeq lists it as uncharacterized. Lineage: Eukaryota; Metazoa; Chordata; Actinopteri; Salmoniformes; Salmonidae. The transcript is spliced from 2 exons. The record is from RefSeq and is a predicted model, not a curated record.
UUAGCCAUGGUAUAUUGGCCAUAUACCACACCUCCUCAGGCCUUGUUGCUUAAUCAUAGCAGUCAAAACAAGUUAACUCGACAUCCAUUGACGGAAAAUUAUCUGGCGAGUUAAGGGCAAAUUAUAUUUUCUCUUGCAACAUAUUUUUCAUUUUUAAGCUCUCAAUCAUUACUAUUUUGAUGGAAAACCACAUUUUGCUUCUUAGCCUAUGUCAUUAGAAAUUACUUAGAUUUCCUUCUUAAAAUGCUUGACAACCUUAUGGAUAAAGGGUUCAUAAAAUAAAUGUGGCAGCUCCUCUCUUGCUUCGAAAACAAAAUGUUGGGCUAGUUUUCAGGCUUCGUGAGCGGGUUUUGAUAGAUCAUUGAGCUAGAAAUUUCAACUGGACUUGGCAACCCUGAGUAGGAGGUAUCUUUGAAAGUGAACGUAGCCUAUUACAGUUUCGUCUUUGUCGGACCUAAAUCUUUGUACGGCCUUGUCUCUAGUCUAGACAAAUAUGUAGAAUUUGAACUGUGACACUUGAGUUAUUAUUUUUGUCCCUAGUGUUGUGUUAUGUGUAUUUUGAAUGAAUAAAUAUGUUUUAGUCAAUUGAAUCGGCUUAAGUGAGACAAAAAGUGCAUUUAGUAGCAGAGAGGUUUCCAAACAAGCUCACCUGAAACAGAAAAUGUCAGUAUUUCUGAAUUUCUUCAUGGUAAGAGAGACCUACACGCAAGUGGCAACAAGUCUGUCAUUUACAUGCAUUUCAUCUAUUGUCAAUAUUUAACCUUCAUCUACAGGUGUAUGUUUAUUUAUUUUUUACAUCCACAGGUAUGUGCUGUCUGGCACUGGUCAAGUAGCCAUUGACUUUGGACUGUGACCCUGAACCUGUACUCCUGAGGUUCUCCAGGAUGGUAGGGUGAGGGGCUGACAUGAUGGAACAUGAUUGAGGAGGCACAAUAUCAGAUGUCACUUUUCCAUUUGGAGAGGGGAUGUCUGGCUGAGGAAGAAGUAGUAUCUCUGUGUCUGAUGAGGGAGAGGAGGCUUUCUAUAUGCCUGAAAGGAGACCCUCCCUGGACCUGGGCAAUGGCCUGAGACCCAUGUACACGGCGCAUGUCACGUGUCCACAGUAAUGUUUCCUGUUUGAUGAUCCUUUCAUCAUCCAUCCUCAAUCAUUGAUAUUUGGUGUGUGUUUAGUAGGCAUGAAAAGGAAAAGGGCUCGAUCAUUGUCCAUGUGAUGUUCUAUGUACAGAGUCCAGCAGCAAAGAACAGAGUCGUACUCCAGCUGCUACUCUGUGGACAGUUGACUGUGAGAUCAAAUCAAAUUUUAUUUGUCACAUACACAUGGUUAGCAGAUGUUAAUGCGAGUGUAGCGAAAUGCUUGUAACCAGAAACAGGAAGUAAGAACAGUCCUCCAUGUUUGAUCAGUCACAGACAGGAUGCAAACUAUGUUUAAGUGUGUUUUUAUGGUGUAAUUAUGUAUAUGUUUAUGUGAGUAUUUGUUGCUGGGUUUAGUGGGAAUAUAAUGUGGAUGUAUGUCCAUUUGUUUACAAAAUGGUCAUAUCUAUGUUUAGGCUCAUGCACCAGUAUGUGUAGUAGUUUCAUCUCCCACUACCUCUCUAGGUCUCAAAGUUUCUUGCAGUGGAACUUCCUCCAAGACCAGAGCUGAUCAAAAACCCAGAUGAGAAGAGGCACCCUGCCCUGACUGUAGACUUCACCUUCAAGGCCACCAGGAAGACACUGGGGAAGGAAGUUUAAGAUCAUGCUGUGGAAGCGUUACCCAGAGUUGUUGUUCAGUGCUCCUCCCCAGGGCAUGGACAUGGUGACUUGUUGGACAGGCUGCUGGAGUAUUAUGACCUAGGGGUGGCCCUGCAGCUCACCAAGGCCCUGUCGGAGGACAUGGGCCUCAAGCGCCUGGCUGACUUCCCCAGGGACAUUUGCAAAAGAAGUAUGCACAUCUUCUUUAUUUUAUUUGAUGAAUGUAAUAUACACUGAGCAAAAAUAUCAACGCAACAUGUACAGUGUUGGUGUCAUGUUUCAUAAGCUGAAAUAAAAGAUCCCAGAAAUGUU